Molecule: ribosomal RNA, 843 nt
Filed under: Arthrobacter sp.
Lineage: Bacteria; Bacillati; Actinomycetota; Actinomycetes; Micrococcales; Micrococcaceae
Description: bacterial SSU rRNA
Rfam family: Bacterial small subunit ribosomal RNA
Source: RNAcentral
CCAGAUGACGCUGGCGGCGUGCUUAACACAUGCAAGUCGAACGAUGAUCUCCAGCUUGCUGGGGGGAUUAGUGGCGAACGGGUGAGUAACACGUGAGUAACCUGCCCUUGACUCUGGGAUAAGCCUGGGAAACUGGGUCUAAUACCGGAUACGACCGUCCCGCGCAUGCGGUGGUGGUGGAAAGCUUUUGCGGUUUUGGAUGGACUCGCGGCCUAUCAGCUUGUUGGUGGGGUAAUGGCCUACCAAGGCGACGACGGGUAGCCGGCCUGAGAGGGUGACCGGCCACACUGGGACUGAGACACGGCCCAGACUCCUACGGGAGGCAGCAGUGGGGAAUAUUGCACAAUGGGCGAAAGCCUGAUGCAGCGACGCCGCGUGAGGGAUGACGGCCUUCGGGUUGUAAACCUCUUUCAGUAGGGAAGAAGCGAAAGUGACGGUACCUGCAGAAGAAGCGCCGGCUAACUACGUGCCAGCAGCCGCGGUAAUACGUAGGGCGCAAGCGUUAUCCGGAAUUAUUGGGCGUAAAGAGCUCGUAGGCGGUUUGUCGCGUCUGCUGUGAAAGACCGGGGCUCAACUCCGGUUCUGCAGUGGGUACGGGCAGACUAGAGUGAUGUAGGGGAGACUGGAAUUCCUGGUGUAGCGGUGAAAUGCGCAGAUAUCAGGAGGAACACCGAUGGCGAAGGCAGGUCUCUGGGCAUUAACUGACGCUGAGGAGCGAAAGCAUGGGGAGCGAACAGGAUUAGAUACCCUGGUAGUCCAUGCCGUAAACGUUGGGCACUAGGUGUGGGGGACAUUCCACGUUUUCCGCGCCGUAGCUAACGCAUUAAGUGCCCCGCCUGGAGA